AGAGUUUGAUCCUGGCUCAGGAUGAACGCUAGCGGCAGGCCUAACACAUGCAAGUCGAGGGGCAGCGGGUAAGUAGCUUGCUACUUAUGCCGGCGACCGGCGGACGGGUGCGUAACGCGUAUGUAACCUACCUUUGACAGGGGGAUAACAUCGAGAAAUUGGUACUAAUACCCCAUAACAUCACCGGAGGCAUCUUCGGUGGUUGAAAACUCAGGUGGUCAGAGAUGGACAUGCGUUGUAUUAGCUAGUUGGUGAGGUAACGGCUCACCAAGGCGACGAUACAUAGGGGGACUGAGAGGUCAACCCCCCACAUUGGUACUGAGACACGGACCAAACUCCUACGGGAGGCAGCAGUGAGGAAUAUUGGUCAAUGGUCGGGAGACUGAACCAGCCAAGCCGCGUGAGGGAGGAAGGUACAGAGUAUCGUAAACCUCUUUUGUCAGGGAACAAAGGCGGGGACGUGUCCCCGGAUGAGUGUACCUGAAGAAAAAGCAUCGGCUAACUCCGUGCCAGCAGCCGCGGUAAUACGGAGGAUGCGAGCGUUAUCCGGAUUUAUUGGGUUUAAAGGGUGCGCAGGCGGUCUGUUAAGUCAGCGGUCAAAGCCCGGGGCUCAACCCCGGCCCGCCGUUGAAACUGGCAGUCUCGAGUUGGAGAGAAGUAUGCGGAAUGCGCGGUGUAGCGGUGAAAUGCAUAGAUAUCGCGCAGAACUCCGAUUGCGAAGGCAGCAUGCCGGCUCCACACUGACGCUGAGGCACGAAAGCGUGGGUAUCGAACAGGAUUAGAUACCCUGGUAGUCCACGCAGUAAACGAUGAAUGCUGGCUGUCCGGGGGGAUUGACCCCUGGGUGGCGAAGCGAAAGCGAUAAGCAUUCCACCUGGGGAGUACGCCGGCAACGGUGAAACUCAAAGGAAUUGACGGGGGCCCGCACAAGCGGAGGAACAUGUGGUUUAAUUCGAUGAUACGCGAGGAACCUUACCCGGGCUCAAACGGGGAGUGACUCAGGCAGAGACGCCUGUUUCCCACGGGACACUCCCCGAGGUGCUGCAUGGUUGUCGUCAGCUCGUGCCGUGAGGUGUCGGCUUAAGUGCCAUAACGAGCGCAACCCCCACCGGCAGUUGCUAACCGACGCAAGUCGGAGGACUCUGCCGGGACUGCCGGCGCAAGCUGCGAGGAAGGCGGGGAUGACGUCAAAUCAGCACGGCCCUUACGUCCGGGGCAACACACGUGUUACAAUGGCAGGUACAGCGGGAAGCCACCCGGCGACGGGGCGCGGAACCUGAAAACCUGUCUCAGUUCGGAUCGGAGUCUGCAACCCGACUCCGUGAAGCUGGAUUCGCUAGUAAUCGCGCAUCAGCCAUGGCGCGGUGAAUACGUUCCCGGGCCUUGCACACACCGCCCGUCAAG
Molecule: ribosomal RNA, 1404 nt
Filed under: uncultured bacterium
Lineage: Bacteria
Description: bacterial SSU rRNA
Rfam family: Bacterial small subunit ribosomal RNA
Source: RNAcentral